AACGAACGCUGGCGGCGUGCCUAACACAUGCAAGUCGAACGGACUUAUAUUGAAGUAGCAAUACGGAAAUAUGAGUUAGUGGCGGACGGGUGAGUAACACGUAGGUAACCCACCCUUGGGAGGGGGACAACUCAGGGAAACUUGAGCUAAUACCCCAUAAGACCACGUACAGAGAUGUAUGGGGUAAAAGUGGCAACACACCUAGGGACGGGCCUGCGGCCUAUCAGGUACGUUGGUGAGGUAACGGCCCACCAAGCCAAAGACGGGUAGCCGGGCUGAGAGGUUGAACGGCCACACUGGAACUGAGAUACGGUCCAGACUCCUACGGGAGGCA
This 334-nucleotide ribosomal RNA is filed under the name uncultured Nitrospirota bacterium. Its description in RNAcentral is "bacterial SSU rRNA". It matches the Rfam family "Bacterial small subunit ribosomal RNA", at positions 29 to 350 of the family's 1533-position model. The record is from RNAcentral. Lineage: Bacteria; Pseudomonadati; Nitrospirota.